Molecule: ribosomal RNA, 278 nt
Filed under: uncultured bacterium
Lineage: Bacteria
Description: partial 16S ribosomal RNA
Rfam family: Bacterial small subunit ribosomal RNA
Source: RNAcentral
UUGUCUUCUGUUGCCAUCAGGUUAUGCUGGGCACUCUGAAGAGACUGCCGGUAAUAAACCGGAGGAAGGUGGGGAUGACGUCAAGUCAGCAUGGCCUUUAUGUCUGGGGCUACACACGUGCUACAAUGGCAGAUACAAACCGUCGCGAGACCGCAAGGUGGAGCUAAUCGGAGAAAGUCUGUCUCAGUUCGGAUAGCAGGCUGCAACUCGCCUGCUUGAAGUUGGAAUCGCUAGUAAUCGCGGUUCAGCACGACGCGGUGAAUACGUUCCCGGGCCUU